UACGUAGGGUGCGAGCGUUAAUCGGAAUUACUGGGCGUAAAGCGUGCGCAGGCGGUUUUGUAAGCCAGAUGUGAAAUCCCCGGGCUUAACCUGGGAAUGGCAUUUGGGACUGCAAGGCUUGAGUGCGGCAGAGGAGACUGGAAUUCCUGGUGUAGCAGUGAAAUGCGUAGAUAUCAGGAGGAAUACCGAUGGCGAAGGCAGGUCUCUGGGCUGACACU
RNAcentral lists this ribosomal RNA (218 nucleotides) under uncultured bacterium. RNAcentral describes it as "partial 16S ribosomal RNA". It matches the Rfam family "Bacterial small subunit ribosomal RNA", at positions 524 to 741 of the family's 1533-position model. The record is from RNAcentral.